AGAAACAUGGCAGAGAACGUCACAGUCCAGAAAGCAUUGGUAAUAUUCCACAGUGGCCGGCAGAGAAGGUAGGUGAUCAACUUAGAAGCAAAAGAAUAUAUUGUAUAUACAUUGUAUAAGGUUGAAAGAAGGUUGACGAAUUCUCUGUAUCACUACGGAGAGAGCGAGAAGGAGAUCAAUUAACAAGCAAGUGGUUAUGACAAUGAAGGUCAUGUCUGCAGGAUUUUCCCUCCUUGAUAUAAACAUUGGAAAAACCACAAAUAUGGUGCCCGUGGCCAGUGGGUGGAAUGGAAGCCCAUAACAUCUGUCCUGGCUGCUAGGGCCACCAUUAAAGUGGAAUCCAAAGUCUCCCGUGUAGCUUUCUUUUGAUCUGUGAAUAGUGACAUAUGGUUUCUCAACUUAUCAAACUAGAUUUAAAGAUAGUUGUGUCACCUCUUUGGAAAAACCACCUCUUGGGCCCCAAUGCUAAUCAGGCCUUAUUUUAAAUCAUGAAGAACAGGGAGAAAUGAAAAAGGAACAGUCACCCUCGCCAGGCUGACUACUUUUUCUUCCAUGAAAUUUCGGAGGCUGGGGUCCCUGUCUUGUCUUUUUUAAUGGGGUGCUUUGGAGAUGCAGCUGUGUUAGUGCUCAUGUGCAUUGGGCCGGCUGGUUGUGGCCAGUAUUCAUGUGCUCCAUUCUAUGAGCAUGCCACGCGUUUCCCUAUUGUCCUCUGAAUGGAUAUCGACAUUGCGGUUCAACUCCUAAGUCUACGCCAAGGAAAAAUGAGUGAAUGUGAACAGGAAAAGACUAGUGCAAUAAUGCACUAGUCUUUUAUUUUAUUUAAUAAAAUAAAUCUGAGGACCUUGGGGGGGUAAGGUGGAUAGUAAGAAGCAAUCUCAGGGAAGAGCAAGAGAGAGACAUUGCUGCAGGGUGAGGUAGAAAUUGGGAGCAGAGGUCCAAGAGGCAGGGUCCACGUUGGAAAGUAUUUUGUGUCCUGCAGCCUCAAUUCAAAUGCUAGGUGUUUUUAUUGUCCCCUCUUUUACUCUGUGCUGCUAAGAUGACGUAUCACAUAUCCCUGGUCUCGGGAGGAUCGGGUUUUGCCGAUGCAGGUGGGCUGAGGAGGAUGAGAACAGCCUGGGUCUAGGUUUCUCUUAGCUAAAUUAUAGCCCCGUCUAAAUGCCUGAGCCUCAGAAUUCGUCUUCCUGACCUCGAUUUCCACAGCCCUGGCACACGGACAGCCGAGAGUCGAUAAAGUGCUAGAAGAAGUGCCUCUGGUAGAAUUGUUGGAAUAGACCUCACGGCACCUGCAUUCUCCACUGUGCGCUGUUAUUAGUGACGGAGUCAGCCCAAAUAUAUCCUCAGGCCUUAGUGGCGUAGCACUUGUGACCAUGAAAUAGUGGCAUGUGCUUACAGGGCUCUCAGAUUCUCUCAGCUCCCAAACCUACCAAUCGUUUGAAGUCUUCUUGAUUCAUCCACGAGUGCCUUGAUAUCUCCUUUAAUUUCUUUAUUUAGUCUGCUGUCUCUUGAAAACCAUCCUCGGGACAAACGUAGCUGUAGACACGGCUCUGGCCUUUGAUGUACCAAGGCUCUACUUACGAUUUUUAAAGUACCUGAUGGUUCAGAAGUAGUCCUCCUCCUUGGGGCUGGGGAUGUGGCUCAAGUGGUAGCGCGCUCGCCUGGCAUGCGUGCGGCCCGGGUUCGAUCCUCAGCACCACAUACAAACAAAGAUGUUGUGUCCGCCGAAAACUAAAAAAUAAAUAUUAAAAUUCUCUCUCUCUCUCUCUCUCUCUCUCUCUCAAAAAAUGAUUAGAUGUUGAGUGUAACCUGAUGAAUGGAUUAAUCCACUUGAACGGAUCAACUGAGUGGUAACUGUAGGUAGGUAGGGUGUGGCCGAGGGAGGUGGGCACUGAGGGUAUGCCUUUGGAUUUUAUUUUCUGUCCCCGGUGAACAGAACUUAGUGUCUCUCUGCUUCCUUGUUCUCAUGUCCUGAGUGGGUUUUUUUUCCGCUGUGUCCUGUCUAUGAACUACCUUUCUGUCUGGGUCUGUAUAUCUUUCCGUGUAUCUAGUAGAGACAGGUAGAGAUGCUACCCUGAAAUCCACAAGGCAAGCCCCCGGAAGGGCAGGAGGAGCUCACCACUCAGCCUGAAGCUGGCUUCCUGAGGCAUAGAUUUCUCCUCCUCCUUCAUGUUUCCAAGUAUCACUUCUGCGUUUCAAUGCCUUUCAACCCUCCGGCCAUCUGGGACAGCCAACUGAUGGUGGCCUCCACUUUCACGUCUUCCUGACAGCACCCACGCUGCUGUCUGAAUAGCUGAAUGCCGUAGCCCAGCCAAGCUGGCUCAUUAGAAAUGCCAGCGCUCUCCUGUGUGCCUAGAGGGAUGGUCGGUCUGCUGGCCAGGCUUGUGCACCCCAUUCCUGUGGACACAUCCCUAAAUGCCCAGUGCCCGCGGGAAGGGGGCAUGCGCUGAGAGUGCGCCCCAGUGGGGGGUACCCAGGGUGUUGUCUGGGGAUUUCAUGGAGCUGUGUGCGUAAGGCACCUUUCACCUCUGCCAAUCACCAGUUCCCUAGGAGAACAGGUCCUCCUCCUCUUAAAAAUCCCUGCAGCAGAAUCUCCUGGGGACACUGUUGGACAUGUGCUGGGAGCCAUUAGCCAAGUAGGUAUGACAAUUUCCUUGCCAGCGUACCCCAUGUUGCAGUGACAUUGAAUGUAGGUGACCUUGCUCAAGGACCAAGGCGGAUUAGGGCGUUCCCGGUUUAGGUUCCAGGUUUAAGGUUUAAGAUUAUUCCUGCUGGGAAUAGGGCGUAUCCUGCUGCCUGAGUUCCCCUUGAGUUCUCACGGGAUUCAGACAGUAUAUUUUGGAGAUAGAAGCCCAGUGGAGGUGGAUUUGGGCAGAGAACGUGGAUUUCCCCAGAACGUGAUUGUAGACGGCUGGUGUGAGUUCGGGAAUAAAGAGUUGCUGUUUGAAUCUACAAGCUGUGGCUCGUGAUUGUAUGUCCGGAUGUCCUUUCCUUCCCAGUUCUGCGUUAGUAGGUCUGUCUUAGGAGGAACCAAUCACUUACAUCUUUACCUACCAUUAAAAUAACACCGAGAAAUCAUAGUAAAAGAGGACUUCAAAGCAAUUGAAAAUACAUUUACAAGUCAACAUUAUAAUCAUAGCAAAAU
RNAcentral lists this long non-coding RNA (3139 nucleotides) under Marmota monax (woodchuck). The record is from RNAcentral. Lineage: Eukaryota; Metazoa; Chordata; Mammalia; Rodentia; Sciuridae.